Anneissia japonica is the source of this 644-nucleotide long non-coding RNA. RefSeq lists it as uncharacterized. Lineage: Eukaryota; Metazoa; Echinodermata; Crinoidea; Comatulida; Comatulidae. The record is from RefSeq and is a predicted model, not a curated record. The transcript is spliced from 4 exons.
GGUAGCCCUAGAGCAACGGCGUAGGAUUCACGCUAGCAAACAUGAUGUUAGUGUUGAGGCAUAAAGCCAAAAUGAUUGAUGUUUGAAAUGUUUACAAGGUUUCUGUAAUAGGACAGAUAAAGGGUGGCAGUUGUCACUCAGCAGAGUGUGCUUUUGGACCAUACAGACAUAGAACAACAAUAUUCUGAAGGUUGACAAUAUAGGCAGUUCAAGAGAAGGUGCUAUUAUUCCUGUUACUAGAGUAUCAACAACAGAUGCACAGCAAGAGAGUCCUUAUGGUGCCACAGAAUGCAACCGUGUGAUCCUUAGGUGCAGAACACAAAAUAACCGGAAAACAGCAGGGGUAUUAAAUGUGGCGUAGUUACUGGCAGUGCAGGCAGCACAAAGUACUGGGGCCAGGACUAUUAGUGGCCCAUUCAUAAAAAAAAACAACGGCCAGCGGACCUCUCAAUAAUAUUCGGUUUUUAGAGGAGUAAUUAUUGACUUACUGUGUUCCAUGAACUUUUUCUGAUUAAUUUAGAACAGCUGCUGAGACCGAAUGUGCCCCCAGUUACGAAUCCGUUUAUCAUUAGUGUUGAUUACUAACUUAAGCCUUUAUGAGUAGGGGGUAAAAGAAGCAAUUCUUAUGAUGAAUUUUCCUACGA